ACAUUGUUUCACUUUCUCAAUUUAUCAAGCAUGGAAACUGGGUUCGCUCUUAGCUGUGCAUUCAAUUUUCAGCCAAAUUUACUCCUUGCAGGAAAAUUGUUUGCUUUUGGGGGAUGAAUGAAAUUUCUCGAAACGGGUUGGCAUCCGCAUGCCCUAGAAAUUUGCGAAUCGCCCUCGUUUGUCAAACACAGUUCUACUGGCAGAAUCCUUCUGUGGACCGUAACCACGGAUUACAAAGAUCAAUUGACGCUCUGGUUAGGUAGAUUGGGACCAAGGCUGCAAAUGCAAUGGCCCGUUGUGUCGUGGAAGGAGGCUGCCCCAGCGAUUCCAUAGCUAUUGUCAUAUCCCUCCUGUCAUUCAUAUUGCAUUGAUUAAAAGGCCUCAAGCAAUUCUUUGAAGAUUUUCUUUGGAAGGGUAAUGACUGGAAUACAAGAGGAUGCAAGUCCUUGCAGUGUGGUUUGGGUCCAAAGCUCAUUGCAGAUUAGAGCCAGGUUUUAGCCUUGAGCAUGCUGUGGAAUAUCCAUGUUUCUGAGUUCGUUCUUUGGGUUAACUGAGUCCAUGCUUAUAACCUGAGGGGCAGGAGCAUAUGGGUCAUUAAACCUCCAAACAAAUGUACUGGAAUUGGAGAAGGAUUUUGAAAUCUAGACCAAUUUCUUGUACCUGCUUUAAAAAUCAUUUUGGCAAUCGCAAAGA
This is a long non-coding RNA of Malania oleifera, 693 nucleotides long. RefSeq lists it as uncharacterized. Lineage: Eukaryota; Viridiplantae; Streptophyta; Magnoliopsida; Santalales; Ximeniaceae. The transcript has 2 exons. The record is from RefSeq and is a predicted model, not a curated record.